CCCUUAGAUGUCCUGGGCCGCACGCGCGUUACACUGAUGCACUCAACGAGUAUAUAACCUUGGCCGAGAGGCCUGGGUAAUCUUGUUAACUUGCAUCGUGAUAGGGAUAGAUUAUUGCAAUUAUUAAUCUUGAACGAGGAAUUCCUAGUAAUCGCAGUUCAUCAAACUGCAGUGAUUACGUCCCUGCCCUUUGUACACACCGCCCGUCGCUCCUACCGAUUGAAUGGUCCGGUGAAGCGUUCGGACCGUGGCCUUUGGACGGUUCGCCGUCUGUUGGCUGCGGGAAGUUCGUUAAACCUUAUCAUUUAGAGGAAGGAGAAGUCGUAACA
This 329-nucleotide ribosomal RNA is filed under the name uncultured eukaryote. Its description in RNAcentral is "partial 18S ribosomal RNA". It matches the Rfam family "Eukaryotic small subunit ribosomal RNA", at positions 1470 to 1796 of the family's 1831-position model. The record is from RNAcentral.